This 209-nucleotide unclassified non-coding RNA is filed under the name uncultured Clavulina. RNAcentral describes it as "sequence contains ITS1". Lineage: Eukaryota; Fungi; Basidiomycota; Agaricomycetes; Cantharellales; Hydnaceae. The record is from RNAcentral.
AUGAGUUGUGAUAGGGUUUGAUGCUGGCAGCCAAUUUUCGGAUGCAUGUGCUUGCCCUAACAAUCAUCUUCCAAACACCUGUGCACAUUUUUGAGGGAGUUUUGAGUUGAUUGCCACUUUGGGGCGAUUUGCUUGGUAUUCCCUUAAAUCAUUAUACGCUAUUAACAAUACUGAACGUGUACUGUGCCGCAAGGCCAUUAAUAUAAAUA